RNAcentral lists this transfer RNA (73 nucleotides) under Stegodyphus mimosarum. It matches the Rfam family "tRNA". Rfam says of the family: Transfer RNA (tRNA) molecules are approximately 80 nucleotides in length. Their secondary structure includes four short double-helical elements and three loops (D, anti-codon, and T loops). Further hydrogen bonds mediate the characteristic L-shaped molecular structure. tRNAs have two regions of fundamental functional importance: the anti-codon, which is responsible for specific mRNA codon recognition, and the 3' end, to which the tRNAs corresponding amino acid is attached (by aminoacyl-tRNA synthetases). tRNAs cope with the degeneracy of the genetic code in two manners: having more than one tRNA (with a specific anti-codon) for a particular amino acid; and 'wobble' base-pairing, i.e. permitting non-standard base-pairing at the 3rd anti-codon position. Lineage: Eukaryota; Metazoa; Arthropoda; Arachnida; Araneae; Eresidae. The record is from Rfam by way of RNAcentral.
GUCUUCGUGGCGCAAUGGUCAGCACGCUCGGCGCUUAUUCAAGAGGUCCAUGGUUCGAAUCCCGGCGAAGGCA